CCGGAAAACCAUAUAAAGCGCUUGUUACCAGGACGGCCGUAACCGUGUUAUUAGCAGGUGUGUCACAGACGGUAUAUCUCACACCUGUCGGUAUUCAGUCGAAUGCUACCAAUAUUGUUGUAUCGGACAUCUCUUCCCCGGGACUAACAGCUGUCGUUCUUCCACAAUGUGACACCAAAGUUAACUUCCGGCCUAAUGGUGCUACAGCUCUAGCAGCUCCUAAAGUAGGGUCUGGUUUCCUUCCUAAUCUGUGUGGUAAUUGUGAUGGUAUGCCUAAUGAUAUUCCACCACCGUUCUCAACUGGUCGUACACUAGCCGAACGUGACGUUGCGUUCUCCCUCAGAAACUUAGCAGACCAACAAGCGACAACACCAGAAGGAGCUGUAUGUAGCAGCCUGAAGACAAUCGUUGCCUUACCAAAUUGUGCCACAGACAGCCAGCUAGCCCGUGCUACCAGUAUCCAGAAUGGCUGUGGAGCUCUGUUCCCUAAUCCCGCCUUCCUUACCUGUGCUGCUGCAGCAUCCUUACCAUCAACAGCAAUUUAUUCGGCUUACCGAGACUGUUUGAACUUUUAUUGCUCUGGGAACACUGCUGCUGCCUGUGUCACCAUAGCUCAGCUUUAUGCUGGUUUAAGUUGCGCCCCUCCCACAGGCUACAGCUGCCCUUAAAUAUAAAGCAGACUUGCAUGUAAAGUGGUUUCAGGAAAUAUUUCAAUAAAAGAAAUUAU
Molecule: long non-coding RNA, 727 nt
Organism: Patella vulgata (common limpet)
Lineage: Eukaryota; Metazoa; Mollusca; Gastropoda; Patellidae
Exons: 3
Source: RefSeq, a predicted model, not a curated record